Long non-coding RNA from Andrographis paniculata, 661 nucleotides. RefSeq lists it as uncharacterized. The record is from RefSeq and is a predicted model, not a curated record. NCBI's taxonomy places the organism in Eukaryota, Viridiplantae, Streptophyta, Magnoliopsida, Lamiales, Acanthaceae. The transcript has 5 exons.
UUGUUGAUCCUCCAAUGAUAAAGAAGCGAGCUGGCAGGCUAAAAAAAGUGCGACGACCUGAUGCAAAUGAUACCAAAGAUUCAUCGAAGGCAACAAGAAAAGAGUUAACUCAUACUUGCGCUAUAUGCCUUGAGCAAGGCCAUAACAAAAGAAGCUGUAAAAAGACACCACACCCAAAUUACAGAUUUGCAAAGGGACGAGGUGAAUCAUCUGCUGAUGUUAAUGGUCCAGCUCAGCCCGAACAGACCACGACCUGUGAUGGACAUGAUCGACGGAAAGAUGACUCACACUAGCGCAUAAGACACGAGAGUAUCUUCACCAAUACAUGCUCAGGAGGACUCUCAAAUCGCUAUUCUUGGAAAAGUUGGGACAAAUGUUCAGGCCACAAUUUCUACGCAAUCAACCGACCAAGUUAGGAUAGAAGCUACCGAUUUUGAUCAAUGUCAAACAAAAGAGCAGCCCUCAAAAGUUCCCCGAAAAUAGAAAAAAAGCCCAUAUCGACGUUCCGAAGCCAAGGAAAUGCGAUUAUCACAUUCAGCUCUCAGUCUUUAAUGGUUUUGCCACGCCUAAAUAUUAGAAUUCAACUACCUGGAUCAUCAUUUGCAUCCAGGUUACAUGCAUUAAGGUUCUCUUACAAGCCAAGACAACCUAAUACCUCACA